GUAUAAUAUACGUUCAUCAAUCCAAAUGACCAAAUCGUUGAUUGUGGGGGUGAGAGAGCCUGAGGCUGUCAAACUUGGCUAGUUGGCUGUAUAGGGAGGCAGCGUAGGAACGGAUGACCUGGGUGAGGGAACUUCAGGAAGUGGAUUUGUUAAUUUGAAGAAAAAUAGGGUUUUAGAUUGGGGAUUGAGUCAAAACUCUUUGGAGAAAAAAGCUAGGGAUUCUGAGGACUCGAAUUCGGAAUACGAGGGUGAAAAUGAGUUGUAGAGAAAAAUGAUCCUAUUGUAAUUGAUAUUUUGUCUGAUUUGUAAAGUGAGGAACUUGAUGAAAAAACAAAGAGAGCAAACAUGGUCGUGGAUUUACCCAUGAAGAAAAGCAUUGUUGAAAAGGUGACAUGCCGAAAAAUGGUGAUUUGCAAAAUGAUGGCUUUGUUGAGAUGGUUGUUGAGAUAAAAAUAAAAAAAGGAAAAAAAUUGCAAACCUAGAAAAGUUAGUGAAUCCAAUGAUGUUAAGGUCAACAGAGGUGAAAAACUCGUAAAAAUGGCGACAAGAGAUACGUAUUUCAGUGAUGAAGGUGAGCAAAUGAGAUUGUUAUGCUUCCUCUCUCCACGAUUUUGAAAUAUAUGUAUGUGUGAUAUGCUCUCUCUUUGACAGUUUGCAGGCAGAUUUGAGUUCUCAUCUGGGGCACUUGUAGAGCUCCUUUCAACUAUCAAGGGGGAGAUGACAAUGAAUUCGGGCUUGUUACUCACAAUCUCAGUGGCAAUGAUCGCAUAAUAAUCAUUUUUCAAGUUGAGAAGUUUUCAAUCUUUUAUUAAUCUUGCACUGCUUAUUACUUAAUUUGGCUGAAAGCUCUGGUUCUAGUAGCAGCACUGAGCAAACCAUCUUGGUCAAGGAUUAUUUCCAUGGCAAAUGGAGCCCUUCUCCAAGCUUUGACUGAAUAUUGUUUUCUUGGAUAAUUUUCUAUCAACUAAAGGUUAUCUGUGGUCAAACCGUGUAAAUGAAUUUGUUUAGCCAUGUCUACUUUUUGUUACCACAUGGUGAGGUCUUGGAGGAGAGGAUUAUAGUGUUUCAACCUCCUUCUAACCUGAUUUGUAUCAGUCCACAUGUCGAUUGUGCUAUUUUUGGUGGCUUGAGGAGGGAUCAAGAUUUUAGGAGGAAGAAUUU
This 1161-nucleotide long non-coding RNA is filed under the name Olea europaea subsp. europaea. The record is from RNAcentral. Lineage: Eukaryota; Viridiplantae; Streptophyta; Magnoliopsida; Lamiales; Oleaceae.